RNAcentral lists this ribosomal RNA (253 nucleotides) under uncultured bacterium. RNAcentral's name for it is "partial 16S ribosomal RNA". It matches the Rfam family "Bacterial small subunit ribosomal RNA", at positions 524 to 776 of the family's 1533-position model. The record is from RNAcentral.
UACGAAGGGGGCUAGCGUUGCUCGGAAUCACUGGGCGUAAAGCGCACGUAGGCGGAUCUUUAAGUCAGGGGUGAAAUCCCAAGACUCAACCUUGGAACUGCCUUUGAUACUGGGGAUCUCGAGUCCGGAAGAGGUUGGUGGAACUGCGAGUGUAGAGGUGUAAUUCGUAGAUAUUCGCAAGAACACCAGUGGCGAAGGCGGCCAACUGGUCCGGUACUGACGCUGAGGUGCGAAAGCGUGGGGAGCAAACAGG